This 254-nucleotide ribosomal RNA is filed under the name uncultured bacterium. RNAcentral's name for it is "partial 16S ribosomal RNA". It matches the Rfam family "Bacterial small subunit ribosomal RNA", at positions 524 to 776 of the family's 1533-position model. The record is from RNAcentral.
CACGUAGGGUGCGAGCGUUGUCCGGAAUUAUUGGGCGUAAAGAGCUCGUAGGCGGUGUGUCGCGUCGGCCGUGAAAACCUGCAGCUUAACUGUGGGCUUGCGGUCGAUACGGGCAUCACUGGAGUUCGGCAGGGGGGACUGGAAUUCCUGGUGUAGCGGUGAAAUGCGCAGAUAUCAGGAGGAACACCGGUGGCGAAGGCGGGUCUCUGGGCCGAUACUGACGCUGAGGCGCGAAAGCGUGGGGAGCAAACGGG